GAUGAACGCUGGCGGCGUGCCUAAUACAUACAAGUCGAGCGGUAAGGCCUCUUCGGAGGUACACGAGCGGCGGACGGCUGAGUAACGCGUAGGAACGUACCCCAAAGUGAGGGAUAAGCACCAGAAAUGGUGUCUAAUACCGCAUGUGGCCCACGGGCUAAAGCUUCGGCGCUUCGGGAACGGCCUGCGUAAGAUUAGCUAGUUGGUGAGGUAAUGGCUCACCAAGGCGACGAUCUUUAGCUGGUCUGAGAGGAUGAUCAGCCAGACUGGGACUGAGACACGGCCCAGACUCCUACGGGAGGCAGCAGUAGGGAAUUUUCCACAAUGGGCGAAAGCCUGAUGGAGCAACGCCGCGUGCAGGAUGAAUGCCUUCGGGUUGUAAACUGCUUUUAUAUGCGACGAAUAUGACGGUAGCAUAUGAAUAAGGAUCGGCUAACUCCGUGCCAGCAGCCGCCGUAA
This 459-nucleotide ribosomal RNA is filed under the name uncultured bacterium. Its description in RNAcentral is "partial 16S ribosomal RNA". It matches the Rfam family "Bacterial small subunit ribosomal RNA", at positions 28 to 523 of the family's 1533-position model. The record is from RNAcentral.